UAAAGAUGAGUUUAAAUGAAGAAUGGUGCUGAAGAACGGGGAGAUCUUUGGAGGAACAUGUAAUGAGCUGACUUCAUGGGUUUGCAGUAUAAACUGAUACUAUGGUGAUGGGUCGGAAAUGCAGGCAGAGCUGCAGCUUGGACAAGUUCAUGGGCUCUGGUGUUAAUUGGUGAUUGCCAGCUGCUGUGAGACUGGGCCAGCCAUGGGAAGAAGGUGAGCCAUGGAAACCUGUAGUCUGUGCUGGAAAAUAAGUGACUGGGAAUGUUCCUCGGUGGCUAACUUGCUGCAAGACGUUAUUUCUGGGACGCCUCUUGACCCGUGUGCACAGAUGAUGAACAAUUUCUCCUUUCUGGGUUGGCUUCUUUGCCUCUUGGUGCAGAAGUUGUCCUGAAAGCAUGCCAGG
Long non-coding RNA from Melospiza melodia melodia, 403 nucleotides. RefSeq lists it as uncharacterized. NCBI's taxonomy places the organism in Eukaryota, Metazoa, Chordata, Aves, Passeriformes, Passerellidae. The record is from RefSeq and is a predicted model, not a curated record. The transcript has 3 exons.